UGUUUUUAGACGUAUCCGGGUAACCCCGAGAGGGGUUAAAAAGGGAAUCCCGUGAGCCGCCGUUGGCGGCAAAUCGGGAACGGACCCGCCACUGUGAGCGGAGACGAAACCCGCGAAAAGCCACUGGUCUUUGCAGGCCGGGAAGGCGCGGGGAGUAGGCGAUUUAUCCGCAAGUCAGGAGACCUGCCUGGGUAUGCCUCACGGG
This 205-nucleotide non-coding RNA is filed under the name Deltaproteobacteria bacterium. The record is from RNAcentral. Lineage: Bacteria; Pseudomonadati; Myxococcota; Myxococcia.